GGGAAUUCUCAACCACUUGGUUCAACUUUUUUUGGUAUGUUUUGGGCUUGGUGAUACUGUGUGUAGCGCGUGGUCUAUAUCACGCGUUUGACGUUUGUCUUCUGCCAGAAAGGUUAUAGAUAGCAUUAAAUAUUUACGUUUGCGGUGAGCUGUAUCCAGAAUUUUGCUUAAGCUGUACUUGAUUUAUUAUUUGGAAUGCAAUACAAACAACGGAAUGCUUCACAUACAACACAUUUGUAAAACUGCAUUCAAGACAGGUACCCAACCCCUAUGAUUAAUAAGUGAAUUUCCACCCGAGUGAUUUAACUGUUUAAUUCCCUUGGUGUAAUGUGGUUGUACAAAUGGUUGGCAACACUCAACCAACAUGUGGUGUGCAACUCAUACAAUUCUAUCUGGCAUGGCUCAAGCGAGUCAUAACACAGCAAAAAGAACUUUAUAGGCAAGUUAUAUCAUAGAAAUGGUUGUCAUUAUUUAAGAUAUAUAUAUAUAAUGCAAGCCUAAUUUCAAUUUCAAAUUAUGUACAUUGAAAUCACAAAAUUUUAUUUGAAUAUUCAGAUAAAGUAAGCAAUAGUGGUAAGAAAUGUUUGACUUGCAAUGGCCAACUUAACAUAUUAUAAGUUACUGUUCCAACAGUAGAUAUACAAUUAUGCUCUAAACAUUAGCUGUUGCAUAUCAAACUACAUCAAAAUUGAUCUUACCAUUAGGAAUUAUAUGGACAUUCAUCCAAAUUUCUUGUAACAUACCGGUUUUUGUCGUUUUAUAAAAAGACCAACUUUCACGAAAAAACUGCAUGAAUGUGUGUAAACAGUUGGUCAAACAUAAGUUAACUUUUCCACCUUGUCUCACUUUCAAACCACAAUUUCAAAAUCGUUUGCAACACAAAUCCUUAUAGUGAUGUUGACCAAGUCAACACUAUGAUAAAGGUGAAUCAAAAAUAAAAUAAUUUCGAGAAAAAAAACUUUGUCUAAAUUUGAGCCUACACUCGAAUUCAACAUGCAACUCUCACAAGCAUUUUCUAUUAUUUAUAAAAUGAAACCUAAUAACUCUCUCUCUCAUCUUUUUCAAAAGAAACUAUUAAAUCAGGUAGUGCUCUUCACAAAGUGUAAUUGCUUGAGUAUUCGAUUCGUAUUUUGGAUUAGGUUUUGGCUUUGGGUUAGAGUUUGUUUUCUCUAAAACAACAGAGCUGAAAAAUAAGGAAACCCUCCUUCCUUCUCUAUCCGGCCUGCAGCCAGCUUGGCGGUUGGCCCACUCUGCCUCCUCCCUGCUGUGGCCCACCACCCCCACCAGCCCAACUACACGCUGACCCAGCAGCCCAGACUUCACCUCAGCCAGCAGGUGACCCAAACCACCAAGCAGCCCAUGCAGCCCAGCUCCCACAGCCUGCCAGGCCGGCCGCCAGCGCCCUAGGGAAACCCUAGGCGCGGGUGCUCCUGGGAGGGAGCCAUCACCACCGUAUCUUCGCUCUAUGGUUGCGCCCUUAGCAUUCGUGCCACUCCCGAUAGCUCCCUGGAGCCCUCCCUAAUGUGUGCUACGUGACCUCGCCAAACAUGGAUGGCGAGGAUGGUCGCCUCCUUUAAAUUUCAUGUGCUUCAAUUAGUUUCCCCUCUCCAAACCUCAAAUGGUGAAGUGGGACAUGUGCUUCAAUUUAUGUAUGCAACAACUGUGUAUAAUAUUAUACCAACUUAUCUAAUAUACCAGCUUUGAAUUUGUCUAUUGGAUGUCUAUUUCCGAAUUAAGUUUCUAUCUCCCGUUCGUUUCCGUCAAAUUCCAUUCGUAUUAGUUCAUUUUCGUCUGCAUGUCCUGAUCCUAUUUUCGAUUUUAACUUAUCCAAACGUGAUUCAUCCCUCCCCCUAUACCCGGGUAUGGUCGGUCCUUGUGCAACAACAUUAUCACAUACCUUUUAGGUUGCAGCUGUCAGAUGAAAAGUUGACCAUGUUGAUCAUCAUUUUAUCCAAAUUGUGUCCGGAGUUAUUGAAUUUCUCUGUCCUAAGACCGUCUGCAGCAGUCUACCCAUAGUUUACCCAAAAGCACUGUUUUGUACUAUAGAUUGCGCUGUUCGCAGAGUAGAGUUUGAAUAUGGGUAUGGGGAUGGGUAAGCUGCUGGAGAUAGUCUAAGAUGCCUGAAAAAGAAUAAUCAAUGCUUUAGGAGCUUCUUGGAUCCAGCCAGCUUACAUUAUGUAGUUCAAUCUAGAAAUGCAAUGCUACUAUGUAGUUCAAUCUAGAAAUGCAAUGCUAAUAUGCAGCCGGCAAUUUAAACAAACCAUGAAUACUAAAGAGAGUUUGGUAGUAUGCUUAAAAUUUCCUCAAAGAAAUGCACCUUUCUUAGAGCCUGUCAGUAGAAGAAACCCACGCCUGUAGAACUGCAAGCCAACAUACCUCUCAUGCACCUCUGUGGCAAGUGCGGUCUUGCCGGAGCCACGGAUUCCCAUGAUGGAGAUCAUCUUGGGCUGCUUUAUUUUCUUUAGGCCCACUGACUCAUCGAUCAAAUGUUGUACAAGCCUGUCCCUAGGAUCACCGAUAACGACAAUAUCUCACUGGAACUGUAAUAAUUUCUAACUGGUAACUCUCAUAGGUCAUACAAAUUCAAUGACAAAAAAUAUACAUAAAUUGCCUUGCACAGAGUUACCCAACAUAGUACACAUAAAUUUCUC
This 2651-nucleotide long non-coding RNA is filed under the name Zea mays. Its description in RNAcentral is "long non-coding RNA (ZMAY_LNC000461)". Lineage: Eukaryota; Viridiplantae; Streptophyta; Magnoliopsida; Poales; Poaceae. The record is from RNAcentral.